GUAUCCGUGACCUGGACCCCUAAGAGCUAGGGG
This 33-nucleotide small RNA is filed under the name Bombyx mori (domestic silkworm). Its description in RNAcentral is "ovarian small RNA-17667". The record is from RNAcentral. Lineage: Eukaryota; Metazoa; Arthropoda; Insecta; Lepidoptera; Bombycidae.